This 244-nucleotide ribosomal RNA is filed under the name uncultured bacterium. RNAcentral's name for it is "partial small subunit ribosomal RNA". It matches the Rfam family "Bacterial small subunit ribosomal RNA", at positions 26 to 285 of the family's 1533-position model. The record is from RNAcentral.
AGAAUCAACGCUGGCGGCGUGCCUAACACAUGCAAGUCGAACGAGAAAGUGGAGCAAUCCAUGAGUAAAGUGGCGCACGGGUGAGUAACACGUGACUAACCUACCCUUGAGUGGGGAAUAAACUGAGGGAAACCUUCGCUAAUACCGCAUAACACCUACGGGUCAAAGGAGCAAUUCGCUUAAGGAGGGGGUCGCGGCAGAUUAGCUAGUUGGCGGGUAAUGGCCCACAAGGCAGUGAUCUGUA